RNAcentral lists this unclassified non-coding RNA (378 nucleotides) under Hevea brasiliensis (rubber tree). Lineage: Eukaryota; Viridiplantae; Streptophyta; Magnoliopsida; Malpighiales; Euphorbiaceae. The record is from RNAcentral.
GGGAAGGAAGCGAGCCUAUGUAUGUAUCAUGACUUGAAGAGGGUAACUGUGGCGAUGUAACCAUUUUUCAUCACCUCAAAUGCAACGUUCUGAUAGCCAUAGACGAAAGUAGAUCCAAAAGGAUUGUUUGUUGAACCUUGUGUUUGGAUGGCAGCUCGCCCACAAUCCCCGAGGAUUUCCUUCACAUCUUCCCACUUCGUGCUAGGGGUUAUAGAGUUUUUACUGUUCGUUUCAUCAAAAGAACCUGAAACAUGGAUUACAAAAUUGCACUUGAUGUAUGAAUUGAAAUCAGCAUGGCCAGGGUAAUUGGUAUGCAAAACAAACUUCUUGAUUUUAUGAGUCUGCCCAUCAAACAAGAUGUCCAAACCACGGGUAAAA